Molecule: long non-coding RNA, 717 nt
Organism: Xenopus tropicalis (tropical clawed frog)
Lineage: Eukaryota; Metazoa; Chordata; Amphibia; Anura; Pipidae
Exons: 2
Source: RefSeq, a predicted model, not a curated record
CCCUGAACGUUAGUGGCGGAUUGUACAAACGCAGGGUCUGCUUUUGUGGUUGUUAGCCACUGGUCCCUUGUGAUCAUUAACAGGGUACAUAGCUGGACAAUUACGUAGUAUAACUGGUGUAUUGGUGUGCAGAACUGAUAUUGCAGCCUGCAGUUGGUAAAGAGUACUAGACUGACAGUCCGUGGAUAAGGAAAGCAAUAUGGCAGCUAUAGAAACUUUAUUUGAAGUAUUCUCUUUCUACCAAAUGUCUUAUUCUAAAAAAGAUCUCCACUUAAUGCACCUUGAAUAUUCUCUUUCAGCAAGAGAAGGAGGAACAGCACCAGAUCGCUAUCUCGGCCUACCAGAAGAACUCCCGGAAGGAACACCAGCGCAUCCUCGCCCGUCGCCAGACUAUAAAAGAGCGUAAGGAACGCCUGGAGAACCUGAACAUCCAGCGAGAGAAAGAAGAGAUGGAGCAAAAGGAAGCGGAGCUACAGAAAGUGCGCAAAGCCGAGGAGGAGAGGCUGCGCCAAGAGGCCAAAGGGAGGGAGAAGGAGCGCAUUUUGCAGGAGCACGAGCAAAUCAAAAAGAAAACCGUGCGAGAGCGGCUGGAGCAGAUCAAAAAGACUGAGCUUGGUGCUAAACUUUUAAGAACAUUGAUAUAGAAAAUCUUGAAGAACUGGAUCCAGACUUCAUUAUGGCUAAACAGGUGGAGCAGUUGGAGAAGGAAAAGAAAGA